This is a non-coding RNA of Hydra vulgaris (swiftwater hydra), 233 nucleotides long. Lineage: Eukaryota; Metazoa; Cnidaria; Hydrozoa; Anthoathecata; Hydridae. The record is from RefSeq and is a predicted model, not a curated record.
UUCUUAAACAAAUUUGAAAAAUAAAAAUAAUUUAACAAAGAACUUUGCGGCAUUCUACGAUAAAAUGAGUCAAUAUUUGAAUGUUUUGGAAUUGCAGUUGGCUUAUUUGCAUUAAGUGCAUCAUCAGUGUCCAUAUACGGAGUGUCAUAAUAUGAUUUCUAAACUUUUGAGAAACCAGCAAAGGAAGAUUUUACUUUGAUUUUGGAAAGUAAAUAAAGGAAACAUUAUGUAAA